Felis catus (domestic cat) is the source of this 7869-nucleotide long non-coding RNA. RefSeq lists it as uncharacterized. NCBI's taxonomy places the organism in Eukaryota, Metazoa, Chordata, Mammalia, Carnivora, Felidae. The transcript is spliced from 2 exons. The record is from RefSeq and is a predicted model, not a curated record.
GGGACGAAUGGACACAGUGGACACACCGAUGCCCACGGACCCAGGACAGGGCAUCUGGACAUGGAUCUCGGCGUGUUUGGCUUUCUCUGUCCCAGGGGCUGUCCCAUAAGUAGGGAAGGGUGAAGGCCCCUGUGGGCUGUGCAUCUUGGGUCUGUGGCCUGAAGAAGAAUCCUUUCCUGCUCACGACGGAUAUGCCUUAUGACCUCGCAGACCGCAAAAAGAAGGAGAUCCAAAGCUGAAAAGGGCCACAGCCCCCAGCCUCCUCUCCACCUUUCCAUUCUCCCUCAGCAGAACCUGAAGGCCUCAGAAGGAAAGUGCAUGCCCUAGCCAAGCCACCUCCUCUUGCCAGGCAUCUUAGAUGAUCCGAGACCAUCAGCCUCUCCCAGGGUUGAACUGGAGGAGGGACAGGUAAGAGUAGGGCAGUAGGAAGGGGCAGACAAAAGGCAGGUGGUGGUUAUAAGGAAAUAUGGGGGGGAAGGGAAUUUAGGGAUCCCAGAACAAGAGGAGCCCUCCCCAUUCUAUAGCAGGGGCGCUCCAUUCCUCAUACCUGUGUGUCCAGGGGCAGGGGGGCUCUGGCCACCUCCCCUUUGGGCAACAGCAGCAGGGAGGGGAGAGAGCCGUUGAUGGGUGCUUGUGUGCUGACCUGGGCCCGGUCUCCAGGCCGGAUUCUCCCAGGACUCCCCACUCUAAGCCCUCCUGGCCGCCCCAGGCUGUUGGUCUGACUCUCCCUCCUCUGAUACUCAAUAGGUGACUGCAAUGCUGGGGCAAAGAGAGGAACAGGAGAGUUACAACAGAGACAGGCCUUUUCCCUAAGAGCUCUGCCCAGACCACCCUCCCACUUUGCCCUCCUCCCAUGAACUGUCAGCCAGUAUAAAUUGCUGGGGAGAUGAAGAGAAGCUGGGGUCAGAGGGCAGGGAUUGGAGACUGGGCAGUGAGGGAGGGAUUCAGGAGGUCAAAGGGCCGAAGGAACAUGUGGGGGAGGGAGGGUGAGAGCUUCACCAUUGAGAAAGUUCCGCUGGCUUUCCAGGAUCUGAGCCACUUGCUUGAUCCAGGCCUGACUGACCGCAGGAUCUGCAGUCUGUAGGACAUAGCGCUGGAUCCCACCCUCUGGCCCUCUGGAGGUCAGUGCAAAGCGGCAAGGGUCACCUUGGAGGUUCCCCUCCAGUCCCAGGCAGCUCACCUGGAUUGGCAAAUAGGAGACAGCCCCCAAAUUCUUUAGGCCCUCUCUGGUUCCUGCCCCUUCCAACAAAUCCAAGAACCAGACAUUCUCUCAGAGGUCUCACCCUAUCCCAGGCAGACCCCUCCCUUGUGGCCUCCUCCCCACCUUGAUGCUGCUCUUGUACACAUAUCCAGCCUGCGUUCCACCUCGUACUCCUCCUCCCAGGGCCUCGCUGAAGAUGAUGAUUUGCUCAAAGAGGAAGACACGUCUCUCUCGACCCCGGGAGGAGAGCAGACCGCCAGCCUCAGGCUCUGUGACCCAGAAUGUGUCCUGGCCCAAGAGCUUCCCCUGAGCAGUCAGUUUGCCCUAGAACCAAAGGACGGUGGCUUUGAGAAAAAAGCGAGAAGAGAAAAGGGACACUCUCUGUUCCUCCCUCCUUCCCCUGACGCUCCCAACCAACCAUGGGGUCAGUCCCAGGGGAGGACAAUUCCCCAUUAGGACCUCCCAAGUACUCAGACUGGGGCAGAAGAGCAUUGGGCCUCCAGUUUCCUGUUCUAUCCCCAUACCUCAAACCCCCGAAGUCUCCCCAGGGUCAUCAUGUCAUUGCAGCGCUUGGGUACAAAGCACAUGACCUCCACAGCUUGCUGGGUCGCAGGUGAAGAGAGAAGCAUUGUCAUUGUCAAGGAAGAGACCUCUUCAGACCAUGUUUCACCUCUCAACCAGCCUCCCCGUAAAAGCGAGACAGCUCAAACCACCCAAGGAGCUGGGAGAACCCAGAAGACUAAAACAGUAAGAUCCUGGAAGGAUAAAAAAAAGUGUCCAGGAAGAUCUGGGAGUCCUCACCUCCAGCUCUUCAGUAUCCAUCCCAGCUCUACUGUAAUAUUUGAGAAAAUCCUAAGAUGUAGAAAAGAAACGCUCAGGGAGGUUUUGAGGACACCCUCAGAAACUCUCACAUCCUCCCCUUGAAGGCACAGGUGAGGAUGCCCAGGAAGUAUGGGGGGCGCCUUAGGAACUCUGAAGAGAUGAAUGAGAAAAGGGCUGUCCCAACCAGAGGUACCCCCAGGGAACAGGUGGUCCUGACCUUGAGCAACAGCUGGUAUUUCAUGAUCCUCUGCACUGGUUUGAUGAGGAGGUCAUUGAGCUGCAGGCGGUGCCCUAGCUGCUGCCGGAGCUCCUGGGGACAGGGACUGGGUGGUUAUGUAGCCUGGAAAGCCUGAUGAUUCUGUUCCCCUUUCCCCAAGGUGCCUCGGCCACUGACCUCAAAGUAGCUGUCCCCAAACUCUGACACCACGUGCUCGGACUUGGGCUUAUUCUGGCAGUACACCACGUACAUAUGCAGCCUGCGCUCCUAACAGGGGUAAAGUUUAAGGAGAGCAGGAUGGGUGCGGAGAGAAAGCCCCUCUCCAGAGAGCUGCGACCCACUCCCAAGCCCCUCCCCUCCAGGGCCCCACCCUCUUAAGCCUCACGUGUUUGAUGAAUAGCUGAGCCAGCCAAUCAGGAUCCUUCAAACACCGCUGCAGCUCCUGCAGGAAAUAGCUGGAAGGGUUGGCAGGGAAAAGGCUGGUCAAAUACCCCCACCCCACUCAACUUAGAGCUGUCUACCCUAGCUGUGCCAUUAAGCCACUCCAAACGUUCCUCAGGCAACAGUGGGCCCAUGGGUGGGAUACAGAGACUACCAAACAUCCAUGCCCUUCACCCUCACUCUCAGGAAUCCAUCACUCACUCUCGAUGCCACUCAUAGAUUUGCUGGAUGUUCCCAAACACAAUCCUGUCACGGCCUCGAAGACUCUCUGGGACCCCCUGAGCGGCCAUGGUGGCCAUGUAACCCUGUAGGAAGGUUGGGGUGAGAGCGUGAGCGUCAGGGGCCAGCCCUGGUAGGAAAAACCCCUCCCCCCCUAGAAGUCUGGGAUGUAGGGGAGGGUGCUGGGAAGGUGGGACAGAGGAGUAUCAAGGCAUCCCCUAAAAUUAGCCUUGGGCAGAGGGAAAGGGCUGGGCUAGAGCUGAGAAGAGAAAAGGGACCUACCUCCACAAUCUGCCCCAAGUCGUCCACAUACAUUUUCUCUGUCUCUACCAGUUCACUCAAGACAUACCUGGGAAGAGAGCAGGAGUGCACAUGGUUGAUUUAGCCACUUCCUCCCUACUGGACUAGAAGCUCCUUCAUUACCACAACCAACCUCAGAGGAAAUUCCAAGUAUCAAAUCUAAAAUGUGAGGGACAGUUCUCUGGAAGUUGCACAACUGGGGGGCGGGGGGAGGGAGCAAAAGGGAGGGAGAGUGUGGGGACACUUACAUACUCCUUUCCAGAGCCUUCUUCUUCUGUUCCUCCUCACUCUCAGGGGCCUGGGAUAGGGUCUCCUCCUCAGGUGGCUGGAAGGAAAGAACAUCCUAGAGUAAGCAAAUGGAUGCCUUUUGGGGAGCUAUGCAGAUCCAUUUCUUCAUACCUGUGUCUUAUCUCCAGGGCCCUCCAACAAUGUGGUCAGCAGGGUCAGUUCUGGCAGCUCCUCUCCAGUGGCUAGAGCUGGUUCCAGCAUCCAGUUCUGGGAGCCAGAGGUCAAGUGUCAGAGGUCAUGGACAGUAGCUACCUCUCCCCAAUGACCGGUGGCCCCCAACCUGCCCUCUCUCCCAGUGUCCUUCAUGGAUGUCAUACAUGCUUCUGUGGUGCUCCCUGCUCACCUCAUAUGGUCCAGCCUGGCCACCGUCUGCCUCAGUUUCCACACUGAGACAAUGUUUGGAAUGACCCAACCAUCUUCUCAGGCCACUGACUGGCCCUGGGGGGCCCGGGGAACAGGGGCCAGAGCUGAGGCCAGAGCUGGGGCCAGAGAGGGCAGCCAGACCCGAAGCAGCUGAAGCUGAGAUACUCCCCUCACUGCCAGCAAUGGAAUAGGAUUCUAAUGGGGAGUGGGGGGAGAAAAGGGGCCAUAGAUAUUACUCUAGCUCCAGAUGCAGGGCCCCUAGGGAGCUCCCAGAGGCUCCUCUUCAUGAUGCCGAGCCCCUCUCCCCCAGGGCCCACUCUCUUGCCAUCCUCAUUUGAGUUGGCAGGGAUAGAAAAUUUCACCUAGGCACCCUUGGAAGGAAGGACAGUAAACACCUGGGCUCCCAAGGCCUGGAAACCUCCGUUCCCCCAUAUCCUGAGCAUGGCAUAGAUAUGGGGGGACAGCCAUCUGGGCAGACACUGGAAGCUGAGGGUGGCCAUCUGCUCUCCUACAAUCUGCCCCCUUCCAAUGGGCACAGACCAUUCCCUGAGAAGGUGGGGGGGGGGCAGCUAAAAGCCCAUCAGCCACCCCCAGACUCCUCCUCCACCAGUUGCAGUAAUCACUAUAAAAAGAAAAGACUUCUGCAGCCCAUCUCCCCAACACAUGCACAAACCCAAUAGAGGGGGCAAGUGAGGAGAGCUCGUGAGGGCUAUCUGCCCUGGGCCCAGGAACAGAAGAGCUGUGCUUUGUCAUAAAGCUCCUGCUAGACCCCCAUCCUCAUUCCUCCAUUCCUCUGGCCCUUUUCAGAUCUGAAGUAGAUUCUCAGCAAAAGGAUUUAAGGAAGAUGCAGUUCUAGGCCCAAGGGGAUUGUGGAUGGGUUUUUCUCAUACCCAGUUGACUACAAAACAGAGAGCAGAGUCUCCUGCCCCUUCCCCAAUUUCCUUAACUUGAACUGAUAAAAAUUUGGAGGCAGACGGGAUCUUGGAGAUCAUCUAUUAAGUCACUUUCCUGGAAAACACAGGUACAGGUCUCCAGCCUCUAAAUCCCUAGGGGUCAGCGCAAUCCGAAGUCCUGAACCCUCGGCCCGCCCCCCGCCCCAACUCAACACUGGGCCGUUGCGACCUCCUCGAACUCACCACGUCCCCCCCGGGCGAAGCAGCAGCCGCAUUUUGCCAGCACUUUUCGGAUCACAUGGGGACAGGCACAGCGACCCCCCUUGUGCCCCCCCCGCAUGGCGCCCGGGCCCCCCCGCACCCCCCACCCGGGCCGGCCAUGCAGGGGGAAUCACGGGGGGCGGGGCGGGGACGGCGCCGGGCGCGCACCCCCCCUCCCUCCUACCCCGCUCCAGGCUGGGGGAGGGGGGGAGGGAGGGAACAGGGAGGGGGAGUCCAGGGGUAGGCGGAAGUCUGGUCUGGAGGAGGGCUGGGGGCUCUGCAGAGCGGGCGGCGCGAGGCCGGGCGGCCGAGCUGGGCGGGGAGUGUUUCCGGAACCCAGUCGGUGCGUGGCCCAGGGUCCAGAUGUCCAGCGGGGAGGGGAGGGAUGGUGGGGAAAGCUGGGCCGGGAUGCGGCAGCCUCUCCAGCUGUGUCUCCGGCCUCUCGGGUUUGGGAUGGUUCUAGGCCCGGGCAGGGAGAAGGCGGGGGCCGACUCCCCGAGUCACUGGCGCUGCGCGGGUCCGGGCCGAACGGCGAGCCGAAUAACAGGCCCGGCCGCGGUGCCGCCGCGGGGAGGGGCCUCUGCGGCCCAGCUCCGCCCUCUCCCUCCCGUUCCCCGCUCCAGCCCCAGCCUGUGCCGCGCUCCAGCCCCAAUCCCCCUCCCCCAGGCACCACCACGUUCCCACUCCACGUCCCCACAGCCUCCGCCUCUCCACUCCAGCCUCGGCUCCCCCGCCUCGGGUUCCCCUCCCUCCUGCCUCUCCGGCUCCCGACUGCGGUGCGCUGGGUGGGGGUUAAGCCGGGCGGCGGGGUCUGCCCAGGUCGCCCCUCAGCCUCUGCGGUGGAGAAGGGAGCGGACGGAUGGGCCUGGAUCUGUGCGAAGACGUCCUGGGUGUUGGGACUGUCCCAAGCCGCGCAGGGGUAGACAAGCCCCCUCCCCAACUUCGGGGAUGAGUGAAUGGGGAGCUCUGUGGGGAACACCGCCCAGGUGCCGCCCUCUCGCCAGACCCUUCUUUCCUCCAGGCCCCAGGACUCCAGCUGAGGCUAAUCACCAAUUAAGGCGAAGUCCUGGAGCCUGGGCUGGCGACGAGCCAGGGGUGGGGCGUGGGGACACUCCGCCUGCGGGGGCUCGGGACCAGCUGAUGUGGGGGACACACAGCGGACUAGAGGGCGAGAAGCCUGGAGGUCUUGGCAAUUAAAUGGGUCUCAUGCAGAUUAGAUGCGAACCUUUAUGCUAAUAAGCGCAGCAUUACUUGAAUUCGCCACUUUGCGCAGGACCGCAAACUGUGCCCCACCCACCCCCAGCUUCUUACCGGGCAGCGGAGCCCAGGCGGGAACCUCACGUUCGCGCUCCCCUUUCUGAUGCCCCUCGGUACAGUCAGACUGUGGCUCGGUCCCUCCUGGCCCUAGGGGGCUUCUCUUCGGGGGCUGUGUGGUAGUAAGGUAGUAAGAUUGGUAGUAAGGAAACCGCCCUCCACGCCCAGACGUGACCUCCCGCUUUCCCUUCUUCCUCCUGUCAAAUCCGUAUUGUUGUAAAACGGUCGCCGCGGCUGGGUUGGAGGGAGCGGUUCACCCAGACCAGGGCUAUGGCCCUCUUUUGGAACUCUUAGAUUCCUGCAGAAUUCUGCCCUGCAGAAUUCCUGUUUGCAGGUAAAUUCAUUUGUGGGGUGCAGACCUCCUGAAACCGCCUAAAGAUACCCGACCCCACCGUGGUCCCCCUUUCUUACCCCCGCCUGCCCGGGUAGGGCGCAUGCGCGCAGCAUGCCCCCCAUGACCCCCAGUAUCCGGUCAGUGCGGCCAGGGGCGGGGCGGUCCGGGGGCUUCAUGCUGGACCCCUACCCUGCUCCAAGUUUCAGGGCUGAGGGGGCACGGAAGCUGGGGGGCUCAAGGCCUGCGUGCGUCCGGGGAGUUGCUGCUGCCGAAUCCGCCCCCUGCCCGGCUCCGCCCCUACUCCCAUCCCAGCCAAACUUCUCAAAGGGGUAGGGUUGUUCCUUUCUCUACAACCAAAGUUCAACAACAAACAAACCCCUCUAAAUCCUGAUUCGGACAUGGAAGUGGCAGGAGCCCACUAAAUACCUUCUCCCAAGCGCUCUGGAGACAGAGAGACUGGGGAGAUACACAGGGAUUUCCCCCGACCACCACCCCCUUCCCCUUCUCAGCAGGUUCCGCUCCCCACCCCACCCCCACCCUGGUCCACAGAACUGAACGGGUGUGGCAUGGAGAGUUGCAUAUUUUACUUUAUUUUUAUUAAAUUAAAAGCUACAGUCUGGCGGCGAUUCCAGAACAGGGUAAAGAGGCUCCUUAUAGGGGGCAGAGAAGAGCGGGAGACAGACUGACAGAGACGGAGACACAGGAGAGAAAAGACAAGGUUAAGGUAGAAGGGGGAUUAUUUCUGAAGAACACACAAGGCCGGCUCCUUGGGGGCUCACACCAGCCCCAUUCCCCCUCCCCCACACCUAAGUUCAGCAGUGGAGAAGUUUGUGGGGGCAGGGGGCUCAAGAGACCCUCCCUCCCCACCCAGGUCCUUUCUCAGCUUAGUCACUGGAGCACAGCACAUACCAGAAAAAGCCAAGGGCAAUGGAGGGGGUAGGGAGAUCGGGAGUAUGUACACAGGGAGGAGGGGAGCAGAGCCUUCUGCCAGAAGGGAGUGGCUCUCGCACUGCACUGAAGCACUUGGCCUGUGGGGGACAGGGGAAGGGAUUGCCCCCUCCCUCUCUGAACUCCUUCCCCAGUCAGACUGGUCCCCUAUUUGUGUGGCGUGGGGGGCAGAGGGAGAGAGGAGAACAGAGGCUUCCGCUGGGUCCUAUGGAGAAAGGCAAGGGCCUGGCAAAGGGGACGUCCUUCAGUCAUCUGUGAUACCCUUGGC